UGUUGUAUGUUUGUUUAUUAAUAUAUAUACCAAUUCAUAUGAGGACAAGUAUAUUCUUUCUUUCAAUUUCUGCUUUUUUCCUUCUUUUCAAAUAUCUUUAGACACAAGGUUAGGUCAAGUUAGGUUAGGUUAGCAUAGGUCAAGUUACUAGGUCAGGUCAGGUUAAGUGCAGGGUAACAUUUAAAUAUCUCUGUUUUAUUUUUGUUUAUCCUUCAAAUUUUCUUCCCUUUUUCUAGUUUCACAAAAGACACAAGGUUAGGUCAAGUUAGGUCAGCUGUUGUAUGUUUGUUUAUUAAUAUAUAUUCCAAUUCAUAUGAGGACAAGUAUAUUUUCUUUCAAUUUCUGUUUUUUUCCUUUUCAAAUAUCUUUAGACACAAGGUUAGGUCAAGUUAGGUUAGGUUAGCAUAGGUCAGGUUACUAGGUUAGGUCAAGUUAGGUCAGGUCAGGUUAGGGUGGAGGGGCACUCUUUUAAAUAUGUAUCUAUGUUUAUCAAUGUUUUUACAGAUCUUCUUUUUCUUAUUCUUUUCUUUCUUUGUUUAUCAGAAUUCAUAUAGACCUUCUUCUUCUUCUUCUUCUUCUUCUUUCUUUCUUCCUUUGUAUAUGUGUAUCUGAAUUUAUAUAGAUGUUCUUGUCACUCUAUUAAAUAUGUCUGUGUUUGUGAGAAGAUUUAUACAGAUCUUUUCUUUUCUUUCUUUGUUUAUCAGAAUUUAUAUAGACGAUCUUGUUCCACUCUUUCCUUCCCUCUGUUUCAUGUUAUCGGGAGUUUGACAGAUAAGGAAGAGGAGAAGGAGGAAGAGGAAGAGGAGGAGGAGGAAAGGAAUAUGAAAUGCAGAACUGAAGAAGAGGAGGAGAAAGAAGAGGA
Molecule: long non-coding RNA, 862 nt
Organism: Eriocheir sinensis (Chinese mitten crab)
Lineage: Eukaryota; Metazoa; Arthropoda; Malacostraca; Decapoda; Varunidae
Exons: 2
Source: RefSeq, a predicted model, not a curated record